This 465-nucleotide ribosomal RNA is filed under the name uncultured bacterium. RNAcentral describes it as "partial 16S ribosomal RNA". It matches the Rfam family "Bacterial small subunit ribosomal RNA", at positions 338 to 795 of the family's 1533-position model. The record is from RNAcentral.
CCUACGGGAGGCAGCAGUGGGGAAUAUUGCGCAAUGGGCGAAAGCCUGACGCAGCGACGCCGCGUGAGGGAUGAAGGUCUUCGGAUCGUAAACCUCUGUCAGCCGGGACGAACGGUCACUGUGCUAAUCAGCAGUGAAUUGACGGUUCCUGCACAGGAAGCACCGGCUAACUCCGUGCCAGCAGCCGCGGUAAUACGGAGGGUGCGAGCGUUAAUCGGAAUUACUGGUCCGAAAGCGCUCGUCGGCGGUAUGUCAAGUCAAGUGUGAAAUCCCCGGGCUCAACGUGGGAACUGCCUUUGAAACUGGCAAACUGGAGUGUGGGAGAGGAUAGUGGAAUUCCAGGUGUAGGGGUGAAAUCCGUAGAUAUCUGGAGGAACAUCAGUGGCGAAGGCGACUAUCUGGCACAUAACUGAUGCUGAGGAGCGAAAGCGUGGGUAGCAAACAGGAUUAGAUACCCGAGUAGUC